GGGUCAAAGGUGACAUCCAGGUCUCC
This 26-nucleotide non-coding RNA is filed under the name Mus musculus (house mouse). Lineage: Eukaryota; Metazoa; Chordata; Mammalia; Rodentia; Muridae. The record is from RNAcentral.